Molecule: long non-coding RNA, 328 nt
Organism: Heterocephalus glaber (naked mole-rat)
Lineage: Eukaryota; Metazoa; Chordata; Mammalia; Rodentia; Bathyergidae
Source: Ensembl
AUCCUUAGGGUGGUGCACUUCUAUUGAAUACUAAGGCAGAGAGACUAGAGGACACACACACAUGUGUUCCCUGUCUCUUGGCAUUGUAAUGCCCACGUGCCAUCUCUGGACUCUGCCAGUAAGAAGACCAACACCAGAUGCUGUCUCUUGCCUUUUGAACAGAAAUGGGCCUGUACUAGAUAUCCUAAGAGAGAAAAAAUGGCAGUGCUUCAAGACUCUUAAAUAAGGGAGAUGGAGAGGCUGUCAAUGCCAAUCCAUAGACCAGACUUCUCCAACCCCGGACAUCCAAGAUUUAAAGAUCUGAAAUCAUCAGUGAUUGGAAACUACC